RNAcentral lists this ribosomal RNA (1173 nucleotides) under Leuconostoc carnosum. Its description in RNAcentral is "bacterial SSU rRNA". It matches the Rfam family "Bacterial small subunit ribosomal RNA", at positions 300 to 1466 of the family's 1533-position model. Lineage: Bacteria; Bacillati; Bacillota; Bacilli; Lactobacillales; Lactobacillaceae. The record is from RNAcentral.
CUGAUCGGCCACAUUGGGACUGAGACACGGCCCAAAUUCCUACGGGAGGCUGCAGUAGGGAAUCUUCCACAAUGGGCGAAAGCCUGAUGGAGCAACGCCGCGUGUGUGAUGAAGGCUUUCGGGUCGUAAAGCACUGUUGUAUGGGAAGAAAAGUUAAGGUAGGGAAUGACCUUAGCCUGACGGUACCAUACCAGAAAGGGACGGCUAAAUACGUGCCAGCAGCCGCGGUAAUACGUAUGUCCCGAGCGUUAUCCGGAUUUAUUGGGCGUAAAGCGAGCGCAGACGGUUGGUUAAGUCUGAUGUGAAAGCCCGGAGCUCAACUCCGGAAAGGCAUUGGAAACUGGUUAACUUGAGUGCAGUAGAGGUAAGUGGAACUCCAUGUGUAGCGGUGGAAUGCGUAGAUAUAUGGAAGAACACCAGCGGCGAAGGCGGCUUACUGGACUGUAACUGACGUUGAGGCUCGAAAGUGUGGGUAGCAAACAGGAUUAGAUACCCUGGUAGUCCACACCGUAAACGAUGAACACUAGGUGUUAGGAGGUUUCCGCCUCUUAGUGCCGAAGCUAACGCAUUAAGUGUUCCGCCUGGGGAGUACGACCGCAAGGUUGAAACUCAAAGGAAUUGACGGGGACCCGCACAAGCGGUGGAGCAUGUGGUUUAAUUCGAAGCAACGCGAAGAACCUUACCAGGUCUUGACAUCCUUUGAAGCUUUUAGAAAUAGAAGUGUUCUCUUCGGAGACAAAGUGACAGGUGGUGCAUGGUCGUCGUCAGCUCGUGUCGUGAGAUGUUGGGUUAAGUCCCGCAACGAGCGCAACCCUUAUUGUUAGUUGCCAGCAUUCAGAUGGGCACUCUAGCGAGACUGCCGGUGACAAACCGGAGGAAGGCGGGGACGACGUCAGAUCAUCAUGCCCCUUAUGACCUGGGCUACACACGUGCUACAAUGGCGUAUACAACGAGUUGCCAACCUGCGAAGGUGAGCUAAUCUCUUAAAGUACGUCUCAGUUCGGACUGCAGUCUGCAACUCGACUGCACGAAGUCGGAAUCGCUAGUAAUCGCGGAUCAGCACGCCGCGGUGAAUACGUUCCCGGGUCUUGUACACACCGCCCGUCACACCAUGGAAGUUUGUAAUGCCCAAAGCCGGUGGCCUAACCGUAAGGAGGAACCGUCUAAGGCAGA